AAGACAAUGACAGUGUUUUAAAUACCGUUCUCUGCUAUAUUAUAUACUGGGCUUAUAAUUCAGGGGACUUAUAUUCAGGGGAGGCUUAUAUUUGGAAUGAGGUGAGCAUUAUAUUCAGAGGUUUACAGUAUACAGUUGAAAAAAGCUUGUAUUUUCUUGUCAUAGACACACAUUUCUGUGUGCAUAUAGAACAGCUUAUACGUUGGGUUCUCAUGUCGAUCCAAUGGUAAUUUGAUAUCGCUGCCA
This is a non-coding RNA of Paramuricea clavata, 246 nucleotides long. The record is from the annotation of a GenBank genome assembly. NCBI's taxonomy places the organism in Eukaryota, Metazoa, Cnidaria, Anthozoa, Malacalcyonacea, Plexauridae.